RNAcentral lists this ribosomal RNA (506 nucleotides) under uncultured bacterium. Its description in RNAcentral is "partial 16S ribosomal RNA". It matches the Rfam family "Bacterial small subunit ribosomal RNA", at positions 30 to 523 of the family's 1533-position model. The record is from RNAcentral.
AGUGAACGCUGGCGGUAGGCCUAACACAUGCAAGUCGAACGGCAGCACAGGAGAGCUUGCUCUCUGGGUGGCGAGUGGCGGACGGGUGAGGAAUACAUCGGAGUCUACUCUGUCGUGGGGGAUAACGUAGGGAAACUUACGCUAAUACCGCAUACGACCUACGGGUGAAAGCAGGGGAUCUUCGUACCUUGCGCGAUUGAAUGAGCCGAUGUCGGAUUAGCUAGUUGGCGGGGUAAAGGCCCACCAAGGCGACGAUGCGUAGCUGGUCUGAGAGUAAGAUGAGUCACACUGGAGCUGAGACACGGGCCGGAGUCGUAAGGGGGGGAGCAGUGGGGAAUAUUGGACAAUGGGGGCAAGCGUGAUGCAGCCAUACGGCGGGGGUGAAGAAGGCGUUCGGGUUGUAAAGACCUUUUGUUGGGAAAGAAAUCCAGCUGGCUAAUACCCGGUUGGGGUGAGGGUAACCAAAGAAUAAGCACCGGCUAACUUCGUGCCAGCCGCCGCCGUAA